This 386-nucleotide ribosomal RNA is filed under the name uncultured euryarchaeote. Its description in RNAcentral is "bacterial SSU rRNA". It matches the Rfam family "Archaeal small subunit ribosomal RNA", at positions 339 to 727 of the family's 1478-position model. Lineage: Archaea; Methanobacteriati; Methanobacteriota. The record is from RNAcentral.
UCGGGAAAAUUUUGCAAUGCGCGAAAGCGUGACAGAGCAAGCCAAAGUGCUUUCUUUUUUAGAAAGCUUUUGCAGGAUGUAAAAAGUCCUGCGAAUAAGGACCGGGCAAGACUGGUGCCAGCCGCCGCGGUAAUCCCAGCGGUCCAAGUCGCAGCCACAUUUGUUGGGUCUAAAACAUCCGUAGCUUGCUUUGUAAGUCUCUUGUUAAAUCGGGCCUCUUAAGGGUCCGGCCGCAAGGGAUACUGCUUAGCUAGAGACCGGGAGACGUAAAGAGUACGAACAGGGUAACGGUAAAAUGUGUUGAUCCUGUUUGGACUAACAAUAGCGAAGGCACUUUACGAGAACGGAUCUGACAGUGAGGGAUGAAGGCUAGGGGCGCAAAGUGG